Molecule: ribosomal RNA, 492 nt
Filed under: uncultured bacterium
Lineage: Bacteria
Description: partial 16S ribosomal RNA
Rfam family: Bacterial small subunit ribosomal RNA
Source: RNAcentral
AGUGAACGCUGGCGGUAGGCCUAACACAUGCAAGUCGAACGGCAGCACAGUAAGAGCUUGCUCUUACGGGUGGCGAGUGGCGGACGGGUGAGGAAUACAUCGGAAUCUACUUUUUCGUGGGGGAUAACGUAGGGAAACUUACGCUAAUACCGCAUACGACCUACGGGUGAAAGCAGGGGAUCUUCGGACCUUGCGCGAUUGAAUGAGCCGAUGUCGGAUUAGCUAGUUGGCGGGGUAAAGGCCCACCAAGGCGACGAUCCGUAGCUGGUCUGAGAGGAUGAUCAGCCACACUGGAACUGAGACACGGUCCAGACUCCUACGGGAGGCAGCAGUGGGAAAUAUUGGACAAUGGGCGCAAGCCUGAUCCAGCCAUACCGCGUGGGUGAAGAAGGCCUUCGGGUUGUAAAGCCCUUUUGUUGGGAAAGAAAAGCAGCAGGUUAAUACCCCGCUGUUCUGACGGUACCCAAAGGAUAAGCACCGGCUAACUUCGUG